Solanum dulcamara is the source of this 520-nucleotide long non-coding RNA. RefSeq lists it as uncharacterized. The transcript has 3 exons. Lineage: Eukaryota; Viridiplantae; Streptophyta; Magnoliopsida; Solanales; Solanaceae. The record is from RefSeq and is a predicted model, not a curated record.
CCUAAUUUUUCCUCUAUUCUCUUCCCACUCUCCCCAAAAGGAAUCCCCGCCCAUCAGUCUUUCUAUUCACUCAUCUCCUCUAAAAGGACAAAGUUGCCGCCUUCCAUCCCCCUCUCUCCGUCUCUCUCCACCAAUGAGACAAUCAAGUCGCCACCGCUCUCUCCCUCCACUUCUCUCUACACCCUCUGCUCACCGCCAAUGAAACCAAGCAACCAACGCCACCCUCCACUCUUAUAUCUAUACCUCAUAGAUCCUGUAUGGAUACAGAUUUGUCCCCGGAUUUCUUUUAUUUGUUUCAAAACAAUCGGAUUGCUCGAAUGCCUUAUGCAUCUGUGGAAAAGCAAGCGGAUUCGUGAUGUCAAAGUUCUUUGAAUCAAUGCCAUGGAAGAUGAUUGAAGCUUAGGAUUAUUUCAUUUGUUGUCCCAUUCCACUUAGUUUUAUUUCUGUAAUUUUAUUUUUCAAAAGUUGUAAUGAUUACAUUUAUUAUCAAUAAAUUAUGAUGUUUUUCUUAUUUUUUUUU